RNAcentral lists this ribosomal RNA (583 nucleotides) under uncultured bacterium. Its description in RNAcentral is "bacterial SSU rRNA". It matches the Rfam family "Bacterial small subunit ribosomal RNA", at positions 338 to 916 of the family's 1533-position model. The record is from RNAcentral.
CCUACGGGAGGCAGCAGUGGGGAAUUUUGGACAAUGGGGGCAACCCUGAUCCAGCAAUGCCGCGUGAGUGAAGAAGGCCUUCGGGUUGUAAAGCUCUUUUGUCAGGGAAGAAACGGUGUUUCCUAAUACGGAAUGCUAAUGACGGUACCUGAAGAAUAAGCACCGGCUAACUACGUGCCAGCAGCCGCGGUAAUACGUAGGGUGCAAGCGUUAAUCGGAAUUACUGGGCGUAAAGCGUGCGCAGGCGGUUUUAUAAGUCUGAUGUGAAAUCCCCGGGCUCAACCUGGGAACUGCAUUGGAGACUGUAAGGCUAGAGUGUGUCAGAGGGGGGUAGAAUUCCACGUGUAGCAGUGAAAUGCGUAGAUAUGUGGAGGAAUACCGAUGGCGAAGGCAGCCCCCUGGGAUAACACUGACGCUCAUGCACGAAAGCGUGGGGAGCAAACAGGAUUAGAUACCCUGGUAGUCCACGCCCUAAACGAUGUCUACUAGUUGUCGGGUCUUAAUUGACUUGGUAACGCAGCUAACGCGUGAAGUAGACCGCCUGGGGAUACGGUCGCAAGAUUAAAACUUAAUGAAUUGACGG